Molecule: ribosomal RNA, 498 nt
Filed under: uncultured bacterium
Lineage: Bacteria
Description: bacterial SSU rRNA
Rfam family: Bacterial small subunit ribosomal RNA
Source: RNAcentral
CUACGUGCCAGCAGCCGCGGUAAUACGGAGGGUGCGAGCGUUAAUCGGAAUAACUGGGCGUAAAGGGCACGCAAGCGGUUAUUUAAGUGAGGUGUGAAAGCCCCGGGCUUAACCUGGGAAUUGCAUUUCAGACUGGGUAAUUAGAGUACUUUAGGGAGGGGUAGAAUUCCACGUGUAGCGGUGAAAUGCGUAGAGAUGUGGAGGAAUACCGAAGGCGAAGGCAGCCCCUUGGGAAUGUACUGACGCUCAUGUGCGAAAGCGUGGGGAGCAAACAGGAUUAGAUACCCUGGUAGUCCACGCUGUAAACGAUGUCGAUUUGGGGGUUGAACUUUAAGUUUGGCGCCCGUAGCUAACGUGAUAAAUCGACCGCCUGGGGAGUACGGCCGCAAGGUUAAAACUCAAAUGAAUUGACGGGGGCCCGCACAAGCGGUGGAGCAUGUGGUUUAAUUCGAUGCAACGCGAAGAACCUUACCUACUCUUGACAUCCAGAGAACAUUC